RNAcentral lists this ribosomal RNA (469 nucleotides) under Blastocystis sp. Its description in RNAcentral is "partial small subunit ribosomal RNA". It matches the Rfam family "Bacterial small subunit ribosomal RNA", at positions 777 to 1214 of the family's 1533-position model. The record is from RNAcentral. Lineage: Eukaryota; Bigyra; Opalinata; Blastocystidae.
AUUUGGUACCCUGGUAGUCCAUGCUGUAAACAAUAAAUAUUAAAUAUUUGAUCUGGUUAAACAUAUAAUUUUAUAUGGGAAGAAAAUCAUUUUAGAUUUUAACAUCAAAUAUUAAAAGUUAACACGUUAAAUAUUUCGCCUGGGGAGUAAAACCGCAAGGUUGAAACUCAAAGGAAUUGACGGGAGCUUAUACUUACGGUGGAGCAUGUGGUUUAAUCCGAUAGUCCGCGUGGAAUCUUACCAAUUUUUGACAGUUAUUUAGUUUUGAUUAAAUAAACAGGUGUUGCAUGGUCGUUGUCAGCUUAUGUUUUGAAAUUUUAUAAGUAUAACCCUUAAUUUAAUUUACUAAUAUUUAGAAAAAUUUUUAAACUAAAAAUUACUAAGUAAGUACUAUUAAAUUAGAAAUAUAAAAGUUUUUUUAUAUUUUAUGAGGAUGAAAAUAGAUCGUUAUGACCCUUAUAAAUUGGGC